GUCGAGCGGUAAGGCCCUUCGGGGUACACGAGCGGCGAACGGGUGAGUAACACGUGGGUGAUCUGCCCUGUACUUCGGGAUAAGCCUGGGAAACUGGGUCUAAUACCGGAUAUGACCUUGGGCUGCAUGGUCUUUGGUGGAAAGAUUUAUCGGUACAGGAUGGGCCCGCGGCCUAUCAGCUUGUUGGUGGGGUAAUGGCCUACCAAGGCGACGACGGGUAGCCGGCCUGAGAGGGCGACCGGCCACACUGGGACUGAGACACGGCCCAGACUCCUACGGGAGGCAGCAGUGGGGAAUAUUGCACAAUGGGCGAAAGCCUGAUGCAGCGACGCCGCGUGAGGGAUGACGGCCUUCGGGUUGUAAACCUCUUUCGACAGGGACGAAGCGCAAGUGACGGUACCUGUAGAAGAAGCACCGGCCAACUACGUGCCAGCAGCCGCGGU
Molecule: ribosomal RNA, 443 nt
Filed under: Nocardia sp.
Lineage: Bacteria; Bacillati; Actinomycetota; Actinomycetes; Mycobacteriales; Nocardiaceae
Description: bacterial SSU rRNA
Rfam family: Bacterial small subunit ribosomal RNA
Source: RNAcentral